RNAcentral lists this long non-coding RNA (285 nucleotides) under Vitis vinifera (wine grape). RNAcentral describes it as "long non-coding RNA (VVIN_LNC001834)". The record is from RNAcentral. Lineage: Eukaryota; Viridiplantae; Streptophyta; Magnoliopsida; Vitales; Vitaceae.
AAUCUUUUCCUAUAUGUACAGCCAAUUUGAUUCCUAAUUUGUAUAUGGUAACAUUAACAUUUCCUAUAUGUACAACCAAUUUCAUUCCUAAUUUGUAUAUGGUAACUUUAACAUCCCCCCUCAAAUUGAUGCUGGUAAGUCAACCAGCAACAAUUUGCCAACAAGAAAUUGAUGUCGCUGUCGAGUCAAAGCUUUGGUGAAGAUAUCAGCCACUUGGAGAUCAGAAGAGAUGUGAGGAAGAGAUAUCACCCAACUUUCCAAGGUGUCUCGAAUAGAAUGACAAUC